UUUCCAGAUGGCAGUUAUCUUGGGUUUGGAAAAUGAAAGAAAGUGUGUAAAAGAGAAAUCAUGUUUGACAAAUUUGCUAGAGUUUUUUGAGGAUGUAACAAGCAGAGUUGUUAAAGGGGAAAUGAUAGAUGUAGUGUACUUGGAUUUCCAGAAGACAUUCAAAAGGCAUCAUGUAAAAGGUUAUUGUUCAAGGUAGGAGCUCAUGGUAUUAGGAUGGAUUGAGGAUUGGUUAACACACAGAACAUCUUGGGUCAGGAUUAAUGGUUAGGAUUAGGGUUAGGAUUAAGGUUAGGGUUGGAAACAUGUAACUAGUGAAGUGCCACAAGGAUCAAUUUUAGAGCCUCAAAUAUUUAACAUUUAUACUAAUGACUUAGAGGAAGGGACAGAGUGUAAUGUAUCUAAAAUUUGCUGAUGAUCCAGGAAUAGACAGGGGAUCAUGUUGCAUUAAGGACAUGAGGCAUUUGCAAGGGUUUGUGGAUAGUGUGAGCGAGUGGGCAGAAACUUGGCAGAUGAAAUUUGGUGCAGGAAAGUGUGUGGUAAAUGUGUCAAAUGCCAUGUCUAUCCUGUCGACCUGUGGCUCCGCUUUCAAGGAACUAUGCAUUGGGUCUCUUUGCAUUGUAAGACUAUUUAUU
Molecule: non-coding RNA, 632 nt
Organism: Chiloscyllium plagiosum (whitespotted bambooshark)
Lineage: Eukaryota; Metazoa; Chordata; Chondrichthyes; Orectolobiformes; Hemiscylliidae
Source: RefSeq, a predicted model, not a curated record